Long non-coding RNA from Gasterosteus aculeatus aculeatus (three-spined stickleback), 458 nucleotides. Lineage: Eukaryota; Metazoa; Chordata; Actinopteri; Perciformes; Gasterosteidae. The record is from Ensembl.
GGGAGCCGCCCUGCAGCGUGUUUUCGCCAACCGGCCUAAAUUGAAAACAUCACACUUGACUCCCCUCACAUGUUUUGGCCGUCGGUGUUGAAUACUGCAAAUUAGAGUUCGUUAAAAGAUUAUUCAGGAAAGCCGUUUCCUGGUAAGAAAGGUCCGACUGACGGACAAAAUAUUUCUCUUGAGCACUUUAACUUUAACGAUGAAAAGAUUGAGGCAACUCGAAAUUCGUACCGGUGUCUCCGGGGGCCCAGAUGGCGUUCCAGCGCUCGCUCACUGCAGACUGCAGCCAUGUGAAAGUGCUCUGCUCACGCCUCAACAGUAGCUGAACGGGAACUGGAAGGUGUCCUUGAGCUCACCUGUGGGACACGCUCACAUGCACUGAAGACACGGGCGGCGUCGAUGAAUGACACAGCCGGACUCGCUGCCAGCAACACACACAGAGGGCGCUUCAUUCUCGG